CCGCAAGGGGAGCGGCAGACGGGAGAGUAACACGUGGGAACGUACCCUUCGGUUCGGAACAACCCAGGGAAACUUGGGCUAAUACCGGAUACGUCCGAAAGGAGAAAGAUUCAUCGCCGAAGGAUCGGCCCGCGUCUGAUUAGCUAGUUGGUGGGGUAACGGCCCACCAAGGCGACGAUCAGUAGCUGGUCUGAGAGGAUGAUCAGCCUCACUGGGACUGAGACACGGCCCAGACUCCUACGGGAGGCAGCAGUGGGGAAUAUUGGACAAUGGGCGCAAGCCUGAUCCAGCCAUGCCGCGUGGGUGAUGAAGGCCCUAGGGUUGUAAAGCCCUUUCGGCGGGGAAGAUAAUGACGGUACCCGCAGAAGAAGCCCCGGCUAACUUCGUGCCAGCAGCCGCGGUAAUACGAAGGGGGCUAACGUUGCUCGGAAUCACUGGGCGUAA
RNAcentral lists this ribosomal RNA (444 nucleotides) under uncultured bacterium. RNAcentral's name for it is "bacterial SSU rRNA". It matches the Rfam family "Bacterial small subunit ribosomal RNA", at positions 84 to 563 of the family's 1533-position model. The record is from RNAcentral.